Passer domesticus (house sparrow) is the source of this 1614-nucleotide long non-coding RNA. RefSeq lists it as uncharacterized. The transcript is spliced from 4 exons. The record is from RefSeq and is a predicted model, not a curated record. Lineage: Eukaryota; Metazoa; Chordata; Aves; Passeriformes; Passeridae.
GUGAGGUGCUGCAGAUUUCAGGCACAUUCAGGCGAAAUAGAGCCAGCUGAACCGUGGAUGGUACACAAGUGUCUCGGCAUUCACUAGAAGUUCUUUCCCUACAUUUGCCCUUUGCAGGUGCCAGAGCCCAGGAGGCGCAUGGCACCUGUCCGGGCAUCUGUCCGGGCAUCUGUCCGGCAGGCCACGCUAACCCCACACCUGAACUGCCAACACUAAAACGGAUCUCUGAACAAGCUGCUGAUGUACAGCUGAAUUCAAGCUCGGGGUACUCAACUCUACAGAAUUACCCAAGGGAGAGGACUGCAGGAACCUCUUCUCAGGAGCAGCAGGACAAGGUGGAUUUGAGCAGCGGGGCUCAGCAAGGACCAGCAGCCUCGUGGCCAAUGCUCCAUCAAGCGAGACUGACUGGUACAGAUGAGGGACAGUUUUGGUCAAUCAGGCCUCUUAAAGCUCAUGGAUCCACUGUCAGGGCUAGACUCUGACUUUGUUGCUGUGUUUGGGUUCCCUUCUGCUGCGGCCAAGAGCUCUAAACCAGACAUGCUGCAACUCUGCUUCUCCUCUGGGUGGUCCACAUGGCACACAUCCUGAGCAGGCAACCUUGGGGUGUGGGAUUUUCUUACAGAAGAAUUGUGGAUGGGGACAGGAAAAGUAGCUACGUCUGCUCCCCUGCCUUUCUCAUGAGGAAAUCUCCUGCCUUGAAAUGGAAAUGCUGUGCUGAACCAAGUCCUGCUAUGAGAAAGGAAUUGUGCCCUGGCAUCUGCAUGGAAGUGAUGAUCCUGCUCUUCAGGAGAAAAACCGUGGAGAAAGUAAAGAUGUGUAAGGGGUCGGGUAAUUAUUUCUCAAGUUUGUUAUUGCAGACUGUACCCUGUUGUGAUUUUUGCUGCUGGCUUCUGCUAGUAAUUUGUUCUCGGGUUUUAAAGAAUAGAUCCCCCAAAAAAUUUGUUAGCAUCUGGCUCAAUCAAAACAGAAGAAGUCACAAUAAAGAAGCUAUCUUUCAAAAAAGGUGAGGACUGUGUUCUCUGAAUGUAGAUUUUUUUCAAAUGACUUUGGAUUUUGCAGAUUGUUGUCAUUAUACAGCUAUUUAUGAAGAAACAUUAUUGCUGUCUUUGUCAUCAAAAGAGCCUUGAGAACACUGUCUGUCACCUAGGAUUAGUAUUGCCACAAAAUAAAUGUUCUCUCGAUAUUUUUAUAGAUGUUUUCACAGGUCUCUAAUGUUUCACAUUAGAGAACCUGAGCCCCACUAUUAUUGCAAAUUAAAAUUAUUUAAUAGUGCUGCCUGUGAAAGAGUGUUGUUUUUACAGUUGUCAAAUGUCUCAAACGUUGAUAAUUUUGUUUAACAAUACAUUAUUUUCCUUUAGUUCUUCUAGGCAUACUGCAAGUAUUAUCUUAUGAUUCUUUAAAUGUCUGUUAUUGUAAAAAUAGUAGUAUGCCUAAAAUAGGUAUUGAUUUUGCAUCCAUAAAAGCAAAAUACUGAGAAAGCCAAUUAUCUGUUUACCUCAGAAAUAUUAAUGUCUUUAUGCACCAUGCAAUGCACACUGCAAGGUGUAACUCUUUGGAUGUACUGUGCAUCUUUUGAGUCUUGAGUAAACCUGUAGGCUAAAUGGAGAAUAGUCU